Molecule: ribosomal RNA, 359 nt
Filed under: uncultured Streptococcus sp.
Lineage: Bacteria; Bacillati; Bacillota; Bacilli; Lactobacillales; Streptococcaceae
Description: bacterial SSU rRNA
Rfam family: Bacterial small subunit ribosomal RNA
Source: RNAcentral
CGGUACAUCGUGACAGGUGGUGGCAUGGUUGUCGUCAGCUCGUGUCGUGAGAUGUUGGGUUAAGUCCCGCAACGAGCGCAACCCCUAUUGUUAGUUGCCAUCAUUCAGUUGGGCACUCUAGCGAGACUGCCGGUAAUAAACCGGAGGAAGGUGGGAUGACGUCAAAUCAUCAUGCCCCUUAUGACCUGGGCUACACACGUGCUACAAUGGUUGGUACAACGAGUUGCGGGUCGGUGACGGCGAGCUAAUCUCUUAAAGCCAAUCUCAGUUCGGAUUGUAGGCUGCAACUCGCCUACAUGAAGUCGGAAUCGCUAGUAAUCGCGGAUCAGCACGCCGCGGUGAAUACGUUCCCGGGCCUU